GAUGAACGCUGGCGGCGUGCCUAAUACAUGCAAGUCGAGCGAAUGGAUUAAGAGCUUGCUCUUAUGAAGUUAGCGGCGGACGGGUGAGUAACACGUGGGUAACCUGCCCAUAAGACUGGGAUAACUCCGGGAAACCGGGGCUAAUACCGGAUAACAUUUUGAACCGCAUGGUUCGAAAUUGAAAGGCGGCUUCGGCUGUCACUUAUGGAUGGACCCGCGUCGCAUUAGCUAGUUGGUGAGGUAACGGCUCACCAAGGCAACGAUGCGUAGCCGACCUGGGAGGGUGAGCUGCCACACUGGGACUGAGACACGGCCCAGACUCCUACGGGAGGCAGCAGUAGGGAAUCUUCCGCAAUGGACGAAAGUCUGACGGAGCAACGCCGCGUGAGUGACGAAGGCUUUCGGGUCGUAAAACUCUGUUGUUAGGGAAGAACAAGUGCUAGUUGAAUAAGCUGGCACCUUGACGGUACCUAACCAGAAAGCCACGGCUAACUACGUGCCAGCCGCCGCGGUAA
This 515-nucleotide ribosomal RNA is filed under the name uncultured bacterium. RNAcentral's name for it is "partial 16S ribosomal RNA". It matches the Rfam family "Bacterial small subunit ribosomal RNA", at positions 28 to 523 of the family's 1533-position model. The record is from RNAcentral.